UAAAUGUCCCUAAAAAUAAUUAAAAUAGAAAAGACACCUGUAGAAUAAAUAUAUCUCUUUCUUUCUUUUCACAUCUAACACUCAAUACAAUUCUUCUUCUUUAAAGUAGAAGACAACUAAGGGCAUGUAUAAUUGACGAUGACAAUACAAUUCUUUGAGUUUUGUUCUUCAAACUCAACAAUGAUACAUUCUAAAGUUUUUAUUGAUAGCAGUAAUUUUGUAUUUGCUCAUGUGACUUUUUUAAUCUUAUAAUUUGAUAAAAAAAUUAAUUUUUUAUAAUUUAUUUUAGAUCUAUAAAUACAAAAAAAAUUGUAUUUU
Molecule: long non-coding RNA, 318 nt
Filed under: Lathyrus oleraceus (garden pea)
Lineage: Eukaryota; Viridiplantae; Streptophyta; Magnoliopsida; Fabales; Fabaceae
Description: Pisum sativum (pea) long non-coding RNA (PSAT_LNC027383)
Source: RNAcentral